AUGAACGCUAGCUACCGGCUUAACACAUGCAAGUCGAGGGGCAGCAUGAUUGAAGCUUGCUUCAAUCGAUGGCGACCGGCGCACGGGUGAGUAACACGUAUCCAACCUGCCGAUAACUCGGGGAUAGCUUUUCAAAGGAAAGAUUAAUACCUAACAUUUUGAAUUUCCCGGUUGGUUUGCCAAUUAAGGACUUUCUGUUACGUAUGGGGAUGCGUUCCUUGCGUUAGUUGGGGGGGAAAGGGCCCACCAAGCCAACGAUGGAUAGGGGUCAGGGUUGGAAGGUCCCCCACAUUGGAACUGAGACACGGUCCAAACUCCUACGGGAGGCAGCAGUGAGGAAUAGUGGUCAAUGGACGAGAGUCUGAACCAGCCAAGUAGCGUGAAGGAGGACUGCCCUAGGGGUUGUAAACUUCUUUUAUACGGGAAUAAAGUGGAGUAUGCAUACUCCUUUGUAUGUACCGGAUGAAUAAGGAUCGGCUAACUCCGUG
This 488-nucleotide ribosomal RNA is filed under the name uncultured bacterium. RNAcentral describes it as "partial 16S ribosomal RNA". It matches the Rfam family "Bacterial small subunit ribosomal RNA", at positions 29 to 507 of the family's 1533-position model. The record is from RNAcentral.